Molecule: long non-coding RNA, 733 nt
Filed under: Trifolium pratense (red clover)
Lineage: Eukaryota; Viridiplantae; Streptophyta; Magnoliopsida; Fabales; Fabaceae
Description: long non-coding RNA (TPRA_LNC003896)
Source: RNAcentral
AAGCGGGGUGUUAAAAUAAAUGGGAGGUGUGACUUGCAUUUUUGAAAAUUGAACGCUAAAAGCUAACCCAACCCAAAUAAAUCACCGCAUUUCCAAACCAUUCAACGAACACCAACGAACGAAGAAGGAAAGAACAAAAACAAAACAUCAUAAGCUCCUCUUCCUCCACCGAUUGCUUCUUCAAUCAUUCAUUCAAACCAAAUUCAAUUUUGUUUUCUCAAUCUUUGACGCAUAAUUAUUCUUAAAUAAGGUUUCAUUCAUUCAUUCAUUCAACAAACAAUAACAAUAAAUGGGUAUUCCUUCAGAACUUAGAGAUGUUUGGGUCUCCAAAAGAAAUUCUUUUAUUAUUGCUUCUCCUGAUGAAGAGAGGAAGCUUUUAAGGACUAAAAUAUGUACUAAUGGUAUUUUUCAUUCUCAUUCUCUCUUACUUCACAUGUUUAAUUAUUAUAUCAUCAUUAUAUUGAUCCAUUUAUUAAGUUGAUUGGUUCAUUAAUUUAUCUUUAGAUUUAUUUUUGCUUAUUAUCAUCAUUAUUUUAAUGUAACCAAAUAGUUGGGCUUAAUGAGCUCCUCUUUGAACAAUAUGAGUUCCAUUUUUUAUUUUUAUUUUUUUGGUAUUAACCCUUUGGUUCCCAAGGAAAGGUAAUCCAGAGUUUGACCGCGAGGUAAGUAAAAUCUGGCCAACAAUUGUUCCUACGAGAGGGUUAAUACCAACGGAAGAAAUAUUUAAUUGUUG